AUACGUAGGGGGCGAGCGUUGUCCGGAAUUACUGGGCGUAAAGGGCGCGUAGGCGGUCUAAUAAGUCAGAUGUGAAAUUCUUGGGCUUAACCCAGGAUGUGCAUUUGAAACUGUUGGACUUGAGGGCAGGAGAGGAAAGCGGAAUUCCCAGUGUAGCGGUGAAAUGCGUAGAUAUUGGGAGGAACACCAGUGGCGAAGGCGGCUUUCUGGACUGAACCUGACGCUGAGGCGCGAAAGCCAGGGGAGCGAACGGGAUUAGAUACCCCGGUAGUCCUGGCCGUAAACGAUGGAUACUAGGUGUGGGAGGUAUCGACCCCUUCCGUGCCGGAGCAAACGCAAUAAGUAUCCCGCCUGGGGAGUACGGCCGCAAGGCUGAA
This 377-nucleotide ribosomal RNA is filed under the name uncultured bacterium. RNAcentral's name for it is "bacterial SSU rRNA". It matches the Rfam family "Bacterial small subunit ribosomal RNA", at positions 523 to 898 of the family's 1533-position model. The record is from RNAcentral.